GGGGCUAUAGCUCAGCUGGGAGACGCCUGCUUUGCACGCAGGAGGUCUGCGGUUCGAUCCCGCAUAGCUCCACCA
Molecule: transfer RNA, 75 nt
Filed under: Klebsiella pneumoniae
Lineage: Bacteria; Pseudomonadati; Pseudomonadota; Gammaproteobacteria; Enterobacterales; Enterobacteriaceae
Description: tRNA-Ala
Rfam family: tRNA
About the family: Transfer RNA (tRNA) molecules are approximately 80 nucleotides in length. Their secondary structure includes four short double-helical elements and three loops (D, anti-codon, and T loops).
Source: RNAcentral